Molecule: ribosomal RNA, 470 nt
Filed under: uncultured Curtobacterium sp.
Lineage: Bacteria; Bacillati; Actinomycetota; Actinomycetes; Micrococcales; Microbacteriaceae
Description: bacterial SSU rRNA
Rfam family: Bacterial small subunit ribosomal RNA
Source: RNAcentral
GACGGGGCCCGCACAAGCGGCGGAGCAUGCGGUAUUAAUUCGAUGCAACGCGAAGAACCUUACCAAGGCUUGACAUACACCGGUAACGCCCAGAGAUGGGUGCCCCUUUGUGGUCGGUGUACAGGUGGUGCAUGGUUGUCGUCAGCUCGUGUCGUGAGAUGUUGGGUUAAGUCCCGCAACGAGCGCAACCCUCGUCCUAUGUUGCCAGCGGGUCAUGCCGGGGACUCAUGGGAGACUGCCGGGGUCAACUCGGAGGAAGGUGGGGAUGACGUCAAAUCAUCAUGCCCCUUAUGUCUUGGGCUUCACGCAUGCUACAAUGGCCGGUACAAAGGGCUGCGAUACCGCGAGGUGGAGCGAAUCCCAGAAAGCCGGUCUCAGUUCGGAUUGGGGUCUGCAACUCGACCCCAUGAAGUCGGAGUCGCUAGUAAUCGCAGAUCAGCAACGCUGCGGUGAAUACGUUCCCGGGCCUU